RNAcentral lists this ribosomal RNA (658 nucleotides) under uncultured bacterium. Its description in RNAcentral is "bacterial SSU rRNA". It matches the Rfam family "Bacterial small subunit ribosomal RNA", at positions 11 to 654 of the family's 1533-position model. The record is from RNAcentral.
GUUUGAUCAUGGCUCANACUUGNAACGCUCGGUUUUACAGCCUAACACAUGCAAGUCGAGCGGAUGACGGGAGCUUGCUCCUUGAUUCAGCGGCGGACGGGUGAGUAAUGCCUAGGAAUCUGCCUGGUGGUGGGGGACAACGUUCGAAAGGAACGCUAAUACCGCAUACGUCCUACGGGAGAAAGCAGGGUGACCUUCGGUGUCUUGCGCUAUCAGAUGAGCCUAGGUCGGAUUAGCUAGUUGGUGGGGUAAUGGCUCACCAAGGCGACGAUCCGUAACUGGUCUGAGAGGAUGAUCAGUCACACUGGAACUGAGACACGGUCCAGACUCCUACGGGAGGCAGCAGUGGGGAAUAUUGGACAAUGGGCGAAAGCCUGAUCCAGCCAUGCCGCGUGUGUGAAGAAGGUCUUCGGAUUGUAAAGCACUUUAAGUUUGGAGGAAGGGCAGUAAGUUAUACCUUGCUGUUUUGACGUUACCGACAGAAUAAGCACCGGCUAACUCUGUGCCAGGCAGCCGCGGUAAUACAGAGGGUUGCAAGGCGUUAAUCGGAAUUACUUGGGGCGUAAAAGCGCGCGUANGUAGGUUUGUUACGUUGGAUGUGAAGGCCCGGGCUCAACCUGGGAACUGCUUCCAAAACUGGCAAGCUAGAGUACGGUAA